CCAAUAGCGUAUAUUAAAGUUGUUGCAGUUAAAAAGCUCGUAGUUGAAUUUUUGAUUCUGCCAGUUGGUCCAUCUUUUGAUGAGUACUGAUUGUGUGGGGUCUAUCCGCCUGGUAAUACGUAAUGUACUUUAUUGUAUGUUACGGGUAGCCAGGACCUUUACCUUGAAAAAAUUAGAGUGUUUAAAGCAGGCUUAUGCCGGAAUACAUUAGCAUGGAAUAAUAGAAUAGGACGAUGUUGUUUUAUUUUGUUGGUUUCUAGGACAACCGUAAUGAUUAAUAGGGAUAGUUGGGGGCAUUAGUAUUCAAUUGUCAGAGGUGAAAUUCUUGGAUUUAUUGAAGACUAACUACUGCGAAAGCAUUUGCCAAGGAUGUUUUCAUUAAUCAAGAACGAAAGUUAGGGGAUCGAAGACGAUCAGAUACCGUCGUAGUCUUAACCAUAAACUAUGCCGACUAGGGAUCGGGCGAUGUUGUUUCAAUGACUCGCUCGGCACCUUAUG
Molecule: ribosomal RNA, 498 nt
Filed under: uncultured Glomeromycotina
Lineage: Eukaryota; Fungi; Glomeromycota
Description: partial small subunit ribosomal RNA
Rfam family: Eukaryotic small subunit ribosomal RNA
Source: RNAcentral